Molecule: ribosomal RNA, 252 nt
Filed under: uncultured bacterium
Lineage: Bacteria
Description: partial 16S ribosomal RNA
Rfam family: Bacterial small subunit ribosomal RNA
Source: RNAcentral
UGGGGAAUAUUGCACAAUGGGCGCAAGCCUGAUGCAGCCAUGCCGCGUGUGUGAAGAAGGCCUUCGGGUUGUAAAGCACUUUCAGCGAGGAGGAAGGGUAGUGUGUUAAUAGCACAUUGCAUUGACGUUACUCGCAGAAGAAGCACCGGCUAACUCCGUGCCAGCAGCCGCGGUAAUACGGAGGGUGCAAGCGUUAAUCGGAAUUACUGGGCGUAAAGCGCACGCAGGCGGUUUGUUAAGUCAGAUGUGAAA